This 530-nucleotide ribosomal RNA is filed under the name uncultured bacterium. RNAcentral describes it as "bacterial SSU rRNA". It matches the Rfam family "Bacterial small subunit ribosomal RNA", at positions 8 to 528 of the family's 1533-position model. The record is from RNAcentral.
AGGGUUCGAUCAUGGCUCAGAUUGAACGCUGGCGGCAGGCUUAACACAUGCAAGUCGAACGGUAACAGAACUAGCUUGCUAGUUGCUGACGAGUGGCGGACGGGUGAGUAACGCGUAGGAAUCUACCGAGUAGUGGGGGACAACAGUUGGAAACGACUGCUAAUACCGCAUAAUCCCUAAGGGGGAAAGGAGGGGACUCUUCGGAGCCUUUCGCUAUUUGAUGAGCCUGCGUGAGAUUAGCUAGUUGGUGAGGUAAUGGCUCACCAAGGCGACGAUCUCUAGCUGGUCUGAGAGGAUGAUCAGCCACACUGGAACUGAGACACGGUCCAGACUCCUACGGGAGGCAGCAGUGGGGAAUAUUGCACAAUGGGGGAAACCCUGAUGCAGCCAUGCCGCGUGUGUGAAGAAGGCCUUCGGGUUGUAAAGCACUUUCAGUGGGGAGGAAAGGUGAUCGUUUAAUAAACGGUUGCUGUGACGUUACCCACAGAAGAAGCACCGGCUAACUCCGUGCCAGCAGCCGCGGUAUACGG